Molecule: ribosomal RNA, 363 nt
Filed under: Triticum aestivum (bread wheat)
Lineage: Eukaryota; Viridiplantae; Streptophyta; Magnoliopsida; Poales; Poaceae
Description: partial small subunit ribosomal RNA
Source: RNAcentral
AUGCGUUCGUUUGCUAAAAAAAAGACUUUCUCAGAAUUUCCUAUGCGGGCCGCGCUUUCAGGCCCAGCGAAGACAGCCCACUUGUUUUUCUGCCAACACAGCUGUGAAAAUUCUAUUUUCCGCACAGGACAACAAAUAGUGAGAGCUUCGCACAGGAGAACCAAUAAUGGGGUGCCCAUUUUUCUUUGUUUCUGUGUUUUAUUUUUAUUUUUGUUCUUCUUCCCCAAUCUAUUUUUUCACUUCCAAGUUAACUUUUCUUAUAUAAUUUAUUUCAUAAAUAUAAAAUUCUCAAAACGUUCAGACAUUAAAAAAAAUCAGAUUAUAGAAAAUGCUCAGAAUUCCAAAAUUUUGUUGCAAUUUUAG